AUCAGUUCUAGUUUUA
This 16-nucleotide ribosomal RNA is filed under the name Trichomonas sp. 1 AP-2012. Its description in RNAcentral is "partial 18S ribosomal RNA". The record is from RNAcentral. Lineage: Eukaryota; Parabasalia; Trichomonadida; Trichomonadidae.